UCCCUGGCAGUCCAGUGGCUAAGACUCUGCACUUCCAUUGCAGGAGGCCCAGGUUUAAUCCCUGGUCAGGGUA
Molecule: transfer RNA, 73 nt
Filed under: Ovis aries (sheep)
Lineage: Eukaryota; Metazoa; Chordata; Mammalia; Artiodactyla; Bovidae
Rfam family: tRNA
About the family: Transfer RNA (tRNA) molecules are approximately 80 nucleotides in length. Their secondary structure includes four short double-helical elements and three loops (D, anti-codon, and T loops).
Source: Rfam by way of RNAcentral